UUUAGCUUUGGUCUCUGAUCAUUUAUACCAUUUUGCCAAAAUACUUGUUUUCUGGUCUCUCCUGAACUUUCUAUUGUAUCUAUUGAAGCCUUUCUGUUUUUGAUCACAUCCAGAGCAGUGUGGUUUUUAAAAAGAGGCAUUAAGUCAUUUAAUUGCUCCAUGGAUGAGUUUCUCCAAUGCUGAUAGGGAAUGAAUGAAUCAGAUUUAAUAUUGGGACCUGCAGGAAGCCCCUCAGGGCAUUUCCCUUCUGGCAAAGGGUUACUUUGCCUGUCCCUUGUUAAUCUGCAUUCAUUAGUCCAGUGUUGACCUUUGCCAUACCUUCUGCAUACUCCAGAAGGUUGAGGCCAAAAUAUUGUUUCUAGGAACAUCUUGCCUACAAUCCCUUUUCAAGUAACCUUGUUUACCACAAUUAAAACAUCUGACAUUUUGAUUUUUCUUGUAUUUUUUAGAAAUCACUUUUCCUGUCCAAGUGUCAUUGUAUGUGUGAGAUCCAAUAUCAACUGUUAUUUCAGAUCCAUGCAGUCAGGAUGAAUCUCUCCCAUCCAUGUCCUGCAGCUGCUUGGUCCCAAGUAAACACACAGAGGCUUAUAUUACUUACAAACUGUAUGGUCUAUGGGUCAGGCUUCUUGCUAGCUAGGUCCUAUAACUUAACUCAACCCAUCUGUAUUAAUCUAUAUAUGUUGCCACAUGAUCAUGGCAUUACUGGUCCACUGGCAUGUGGCUCCUUUGGCAGUGGGCUGGUGUUUCCCCCAACUCCACCCUUCUUUGUCUUCAGUUUGAAUGUACCACCUAAUCUUAUCCUGCCCUGCCAUAGGCCAAUACAGCUUUAUUUACAACCAAUCAGAGCAACACAUAUUUACAGCAUACAGAAAGAUAUCCUAUGGCAAAUAUUUGUCUAACUUUGUAUAAUUUUAGUAAAUGACUCAGUCCUCUUUCCUGAUUCUUCAACUCUGUCCCAAGCAGUUAAAGCUACUAUAUGGCAUAGAGCAUAUGAUCAUAAAAUGUACACUGUCUCUGCAAAUCACCAUACUGGCCUUCACCAAGAAGCUGGUCUUGGGAAAUUUCAAUAUUUCUAGCCCUGUUUGGUUGUUCUAUGACCCUAGCUUUCUCCCUCCACCAUGUUUUCCAUUGUAACUGAGGACCAGCUUCCAAUACUGUUAUAGCUAAAGCUUUCCAGUCUUUUGGAAUAAUCCUGUUCUGAGUUACCCAUGAAUUUAAUAUCUGCUUCACAAAGGGUGAAUGCAUACAAUAUGAAACAACUGCUUCCUUAGAUUUCUUCAAACCUAACAUUUCCAGGAUCCAAAUUAACUUCUGUAUAACCUUGGGCAGUGGGAGAGUGUGUGUACCUAUCAUCUGGUAGUCGUUCUUGUAUGGUAACUGGAUAAAUUAAGGUUGAUUUUCUAAUAACCUUAGGCUGCUCUUCUUCAGUUUCAUAAUGCAAUGGUGUGGUGUGGUAGGUUCUUAAUUCCUCUGUCUGUGUCUGAGUAUUUUUCUUAUUUUCAUUAGUAGGUCUUUUUAAAGCUUGUAUCUUGUCAAUAGUAAGUCCUUCUAAGACAUAUCAUAUCAGUCAAAUUUUUAUUAUUUUCAUUAGUAAGUAUUAUAUCUUAUUAAUCAAAUUUUUAUUUUUGGCACAGUUAUCAUACCACUUUUUAAGAAUAAAAUAUGAAUUACCAAACUGAUAGUAAUUACAAUCAGCAUUAUGUCAAUCCCAGCUAAGUGGUUUAUCCCAUCUUUUAUUUUUUCCAUUUUCAAGCCAUCUAUAGUAGCACAGAGUCCUAACUUACUGCAUUGUUAAAGUUCUGAUUCUUAACAUGGGACAAAUUUUUUUUCUUAAUUUUAUUUAUCUCUCUCCUUAAGAACUUCCCAAGCAUCUCACCAAAUCUGCUGACUUCUCAGUUUGUCUGUAGCAACAGUGCCAUCAGCCGAGGGCUCGAGCCCCUCCUGAGAUUUCCAAGCCUGAGCUGGCUUUCUGGAGUCUUGCAAGUGGAUCUUGGAGAGGCCCAGACAGUGACUGUGGAGGUGCUGGCUGGUGUGACUUCUCCAUCUGUGUGGUUGUACCACUCGUUGGAGCACCAAAUGAUGUUUUUCAAUCGGCUUAGCAGCUGCACAUGAAUCUACUGAUAUUUUAAUUAUUAUUGGCCACCCCAUGGUACCUCAAUCAGCGCCCCACCAGCCACUCAGGCCUGACAGGGAUUCCAAGUCCAGUGCCCUGACUCUGCCACCAUGAUAUGUAAGUUUAAAUUAAGUCUCUGUUGUUCUAUUUAUCAAUAAGACUCAGAAGUCUUAUUGAUAAAGGUGAAAACCUGCCAGCUCAGAGAGCUCGAGUACCAACUAGCUGACCUUGCUUUUUAGGGGGCAAUACCUCAAGGGCGACUCUUCCCUCAUCCCAGAACCAAGAGAGAUCAAACACUAGUCCCUGCCCUUUCCUUCCUGUGUGUCGUCUCUUUCCAAAUUGCUGGCUUCUCUAUGGCCAAUUCCUGUCAGCUAGUCACUGGCUCCACCCCCUGAUUCAAGGUAUAACUUUAUUGGGCAGUCUCGGGAUGUCAGAGUACAAUCAGAAUAUCCCACAACACACACAAGUCCUCAUCCUCACCAAUCAACACUUUCUGAAGAGCCAGGAGGCUUGUGUUCUAGCCCCAAGUGCACCAUUUUCUUGCUGUGUGACACUCAGCAAAUCACGUAACUUCUCUGGGCUUCGGGUUCUUAUUCCUGAAGCAUUGAGAAGAUGGGCUGAAAUCACCAUGGACCUAAAAUCUUCAGAGGCUGAAAAAUAUCCAAGUUAGAAUGGCCUUGUCCCCAGCCCAAAGAGAACCAGUAGGGCCUCCUCACGCCUUGGCUGUGACCUGACACUGCCUGAUAGCUCCAGGGACUGGCUUUGCUUAUUCUUCCCAUGUGUCCUCUGGGAGGAGAGGAGCCCCAUAGCCUUAGCAAGACAGGACCUGGGGACCCACUAGCAACACUGUUUGUCUAGGGUCGUAUCUAAGAGCUGGGACUUUUGUUUCCAGUGUCUCCAACCAGAGUCUGUCUAGCAGAGUGGAAGAGAAGCUGUGUCUGUUGGCCUGACACACCUUUUAUUUAAUGUUUUCUUCAGCCUGUCUGACCUUGUGAUCCUACCCAGGGCUCCAGGAGUACAGUGCUGAGACCUGGCGGGUGGAAGACGUAUUUGUGUGUGCUGGACACAGCCUGUGAGUCCAUCUGGGUCUGUCUGGGUCUCCCAACCACACACCAGUCAAGGAUGAGUCCUACCCUCAGCCAAGGAUUGGCUUGUGCCAUGGUGUGGACUGAUGGACGGCCUGACAGGAUCUAGAGUCACAUCGGAAACAAAUCUUGCUUGUCCUGUAGCCCUUUGAAUGGGUCAAGCUAAAGAUGUGUCUCACUUGCAAGGAGUCGCCAUAAAGAGGGUUGGUACGUUGUUUCCAUCUAACAGAUAAUGCCUGGAGCUGGAGCAGCAACUGUGAACCAUGAGGUAACAUUGGGAAUGACAACAGGACAGUAAGACAGAAGGACUCUGAAUGGGUCACGGUGAAGUGUGGGAAGGAGUGAGUCUCCACAGUUCUUAUAUGGCAUGACACUUCCUGAAACCAUCUCUUCAAGGGUGUUUUGCAGGAAACCCACGAUAGCGUCUCUGGCAUGUGUGAAUGGACAGCAGCAUCGCCGAGCUCAGUUUGGGAUGUUCUUAUCACAAGUCUGGGGACACCACAGCAGUAGACCUGAACCAUGCAAGAAAGCACGCAGCAGACUGGAGAGGUGGGAGGUGCAAAAGAGUCUACCAAGAACCAGCAAGCAGAAAUCAAGUGCCACCCAGAUAAGGGAUCGGGCUGCCGGGAAGGCAGAUAAGCUUUUUCACAGUAGCUCGCUGAUACCCCAUCUCUUUUUUGAGGACUAAGUUUUGAAAUGUGAGUUGUUUCUCCUUGGGACUGGUUAUGGGGAGGAUGUGACAACUCACUCAGUCUGCUCAUUGACAUGUGGAACCCUGCGGCAUGACCACAGCACGCUAAGGUCGCGGCUGGGGCUUGUUCUGGUUAGUGUUUAGAUGAGAUAACUGUGCUGCUCAGAGGCAACACCAGCCUCCGUCUGCACGCAGCCUGUCCCGAGACAGUGGCAGCCUUGUUCUGACGCUGUAAUCACUUAGCACAGCGGUCCCCGAGAACGGCAUCCGCAGCCAUGGCAGCUACAGAGCAGCUAGCUGGUGGAUGGCAUACACAGUGGGGAUGCCCUGGACUGAUGCAGCUGCAGACCAGGUAUCCGUUUGGUACCUCGACUCCAGCACAGACUAAGCAGUAUCCACCUGGCCCUCUGCACUGGCCCCACGGAGAUUGAGUUCUAGAGAACCUAUACAAAAUCGGAGCAUGUGCCCUGCGCUGUGCUGUGAAGUGGUCAAGUCCUUUGCUGUGUCUUCUGUCAGUAACCAAGGCAGGCUCAGGCGUCAGUUUGCAAGCAGGGACAAAGUGUGUUAGACUCUACCCCAUGAGGUAGAGUCCUUGUCGCUAGUCCUAGUGAGCCCCCUCUGUAACCUGGUGACAUAAAAUUGAUCGCAACAAACAUAUCUAGUCUCAGCUUUGCAGUUUAAUGAGU
Molecule: non-coding RNA, 4575 nt
Organism: Peromyscus maniculatus bairdii (prairie deer mouse)
Lineage: Eukaryota; Metazoa; Chordata; Mammalia; Rodentia; Cricetidae
Source: RefSeq, a predicted model, not a curated record